This is a long non-coding RNA of Myotis davidii, 310 nucleotides long. RefSeq lists it as uncharacterized. The transcript has 3 exons. The record is from RefSeq and is a predicted model, not a curated record. Lineage: Eukaryota; Metazoa; Chordata; Mammalia; Chiroptera; Vespertilionidae.
UGACCUCAUACUUAUUUGGGAAAGUGUGGUGUGGCUUAUUCAAUAUUGAGCUUGAUAUCCAGCAAUGCCUUUAUGGUGAUGGUGGAUGCAGGAAUAUACCAUCAAGAGCUGUUACUCACAGCAGUGUUGACACAUUGUCUCAGUCGAAAACCCAGAGAAGAAUAAUGAGCCCUCUGCCCCUGCAUAUCUUCCAAAAAGAUAAGGAAACUGAGGCACAAACAAAUUGAGUGACUUCCAUAGGUCACAGCAUUUAUCCAGAGAAGAAGCCAAGCCAAAUCCAGAUCACUUAGACACCUGACUGUUUAACAUC